RNAcentral lists this ribosomal RNA (253 nucleotides) under uncultured bacterium. RNAcentral describes it as "partial 16S ribosomal RNA". It matches the Rfam family "Bacterial small subunit ribosomal RNA", at positions 524 to 776 of the family's 1533-position model. The record is from RNAcentral.
AACGUAGGAGACAAACGUUAUCCGGAGUUACUGGGCGUAAAGGGCGUGCAGGUGGUCUGUUAAGUCUGGCGUGAAAGCUCCUGGCUAAACCGGGAGAGGUCGUUGGAUACUGGCGGACUAGAGGACGGUAGAGGCGUGUGGAAUUCCGGGUGUAGUGGUGAAAUGCGUAGAGAUCCGGAGGAACACCAGUGGCGAAGGCGGUUGCCUGGGGCUUUGCUGACGCUGAUGCGCGAAAGCGUGGGGAGCGAUCCGG